Camellia sinensis is the source of this 1685-nucleotide non-coding RNA. Lineage: Eukaryota; Viridiplantae; Streptophyta; Magnoliopsida; Ericales; Theaceae. The record is from RefSeq and is a predicted model, not a curated record.
UCCCAAUCCACACCCACGUUUUUCAUCAGCUCAAGGAGAGGGUGAGAGAGGGAGAGUUUGCUCAAGGGAAGUCAAGGGGAGUAGAGAAGUGAGAAGAAAAAAAAAAAAAAAGACUUCUUGAAGGUAAAAAUACACCUCUCCCUUGUCUUCUCAAAUUUUUUUUUUUACCCAUCUCAUCCUAUUGUCUAGAUGCUCCCUUGGGUUAUGUAUUAAUGGUAAAUUGAGUUUUUGGUGUGUAUGCAUGUGUGGGUGUGAAUUGGUGACAUUGUCUUACAAUUUUAUUCAAAAUAUGCACUGCUGCAAUUUCUAAUAUUUAAAAGAAAUAUCAAACCUGUUUAUUUCUCAAAUCUGAAUUUAUUGUAAGAUAAUUGGUGUGUUUAGAGCUUGUGACAAUUUUAUUAGCCCCUAAUUGUGUGUUUUUAGGGCUUGGAUAAUUUGUUGAAAAAUCUGGUCCUCAAUCUCUGAAAAACAGUCCACUUUUAGUAAUUUUAUAAAAUUCUAGAAAAAUCAUCUCGUGUUGGUUCUUUUGUCAACAUUUAGAAAUCUAAGUCCUCUUUCCAAUAGAUUUUAUUUGAGUGAAAACCAUCGGGUAGAUUGAGAGAAACGCUAGUUUUCCCAAUGGGUGACAAAUCUGGACAGGUUUUUGAAUAUAGCUUGUGGAUGAAUUUCUGGAGGUGCUAUGCACAUUCUGUGAAUUGGAAUUGAAACUAGACAGGUUAAUUAUUAUUUCUGUGCAAUUUCAGCCCCUAAUUUGACCUAGAAGUAUUUUUACCAAAGCAUUCUUGUUAGCCCUACAGGACCGACCGGUGCUGGAAAUUGUGUUCUACUAUGUGAUUUGUCUCUAAGUGUUUCAGGCCUUUUUAAUGUUAUUUUCUUGCUUAACUAUACUUAUGUACUUAUGUAUGAUGAUCAUGGACUAUAUUUCCUCUAGUAUGUUUUUCCCAUACUCGUUUAAUUGACCAAAUUACCGAAUGUGACUAACUCACCUAGCAAAAGAUCUAAUAAACGGGAAAUGAUAAGGGGUUGGCAAUGGGUGACGUUUAUCUUAGUGUUUUAGAACAAUUUUAUACAUAUGCAUGACAUGAAUUAUGAUGGGGUUAAUACCAAAUGAGUUAAGUCUUGCGUAAGCAGUUUAAGCGAGCCCUUUGGUAUGGUAUGUGCAGGGUGUAAACGAGCCCUUUGGUAUGGUAUAUGCAGGGUGUAAGCGAGCCCGAGGCACGAUUUGGGUGUAAGCAAGCCCACUUGUAGGCCGUCCCUUUUGAGGUCCAUCAAUGCCACUGACAGGUAAAUAAUCGGAAGGUGGGCAUAGGUGGUAAGGUCUACAAAGCAGCAAAAGGGGGAGUUCUGAAUAGUCUGGUGUUCAAUCCUUGUGGUUGGGUAGAAUGAUCUCUUUGGGGGGUCCUAAAUGCCUAGUCUAACUACUGAUUUAUAAAACCUUAAUGUGAAGAAGCAGCUUACGACGGGGAAGGUUAUCCUGAAAACAAUCAAGAUGAAGUUUUAGAGCUGUGGUUCACUUGAAAAUUUAGACUAGUAGUUUGUUUUUGUGUUUUCUCUUCUUUUACCUUUUGGUUUGACAAUAUUUGUAAACCUCUAGUGGAACUCAAAUCAGUUAUCCAUGUUAUAACUCUGCUUGUAUGUGUAUAUUAACGUAUUGUGGUUAUCUAUUUUGUUUGAGUUGUACUUUA